Populus nigra (black poplar) is the source of this 712-nucleotide long non-coding RNA. RefSeq lists it as uncharacterized. The record is from RefSeq and is a predicted model, not a curated record. The transcript is spliced from 2 exons. Lineage: Eukaryota; Viridiplantae; Streptophyta; Magnoliopsida; Malpighiales; Salicaceae.
GUUCACUCAAGGAAGACGCAAGUAUGUAUGCCAAUUGUCAUGUAAAUAUAAUCUAUAUAUAUGAAUUGAUGAAAUGGAUAUGGUUGAUCAUGAAGACCAAUAUUUCACUUUAUUAUUGAAACAUAUAAGUUGAAGCAAGUUCACCCCAGGCCAGCCUAUCCCAUGCAGCAUACCAUCCUACUAAGCCCCCCAAGGCAUCUACUACUACUAGCUAGAACAGAUCAAAGCUUUUGAAAGACCACUCGAAAAGAAGAAAACACAGCAAGGUCGAUGAAGAGAAGAAGAAAAGAGGGUCUGCUGCCGGUGAAGAAAUCACUGGAAACAACCAUAUUGGAGGCUUAGGAUCGAUAUAUCUUCUACCGCUUGCGCAAGCCCCUAAAAUAAGCAGAAGGACUUGCUUCAAAAUUUCUCCUUGGUAUGCGAGAGUUCCUCCCUGGCGCUUUCAUUGUUUUAACACUCUUGGCAGAACCUCCACAGCAACCACGAAACAGGAGUACUAUCACUACCACUACCACUGCAGCCAUUAUAGGUACGUUUUCUUUCUUAAACCAUCGGAGGACAUAUACCACUGUUUCGGAAGCCAGAAAUUUCUUUAUUAGAUCAGAAAGCUAGCGGAUGAAAUCAGACACAGCACCAGAAGCCAGAAAUUUCUUUAUUUGAUCAGAAAGCUUGUGGGUUAAAUCAGACACUGCAUCGGAAGCUAUAAAUUUCU